Long non-coding RNA from Macadamia integrifolia, 430 nucleotides. RefSeq lists it as uncharacterized. The record is from RefSeq and is a predicted model, not a curated record. The transcript is spliced from 2 exons. NCBI's taxonomy places the organism in Eukaryota, Viridiplantae, Streptophyta, Magnoliopsida, Proteales, Proteaceae.
AAUGCCAUUUUAGACAUCAAUAUACAAUAUCGUCAUGAGAUUCUAAUAAAAGAAUAUGAAAUGUCCAAUUUGCACCAGCUAAUUAGAUCUUUUCACCAUUUGGACCAAACCCUUCACGGACUAUUCCCUUUCGAAAGGUUUCAGAUAUCUGGCGACAUGUUAUCUGCUAACGUGGACGGUCAAUAUUAGGGGAACCAACCCUACUCUGUCCUCGCCAACUCUUUAAAUAAAGUUCGAAACAGUCGCUACAUCCUCAAAUCUGCGGCGAUCUCUCUCUCUCUCUCUCUCUCUCUCUCUCUCUCUCUCUACAGUGACGUACAUGGUCGAAAAUCUGACGAGUUUGGUCGGAAACUUGGGUGGUGGAAUUGGAGAGUGAAGGGGUCAUCGUUUCUGGAUCAACAGGGCUGUCGGCUGACUCGUCAAGCAAUGG